UCCUCAUGGCCUUUAUGCCCAGGGCUACACACGUGCUACAAUGGAUCGUACAAAGGGUCGCGAACCCGCGAGGGGGAGCCAAUCCCAAAAACCGGUCCUCAGUUCGGAUUGGAGUCUGCAACUCGACUCCAUGAAGUUGGAAUCGCUAGUAAUCGUGGAUCAGCAUGCCACGGUGAAUACGUUCCCGGGCCUU
This 193-nucleotide ribosomal RNA is filed under the name uncultured Desulfobacca sp. RNAcentral's name for it is "partial 16S ribosomal RNA". It matches the Rfam family "Bacterial small subunit ribosomal RNA", at positions 1190 to 1382 of the family's 1533-position model. Lineage: Bacteria; Pseudomonadati; Thermodesulfobacteriota; Desulfobaccia; Desulfobaccales; Desulfobaccaceae. The record is from RNAcentral.